RNAcentral lists this ribosomal RNA (259 nucleotides) under uncultured bacterium. RNAcentral describes it as "partial 16S ribosomal RNA". It matches the Rfam family "Bacterial small subunit ribosomal RNA", at positions 1233 to 1500 of the family's 1533-position model. The record is from RNAcentral.
GCAGGUACAGCGGGAAGCCACCCGGCGACGGGGCGCGGAACCCGAAAACCUGUCUCAGUUCGGAUUGGAGUCUGCAACCCGACUCCAUGAAGCUGGAUUCGCUAGUAAUCGCGCAUCAGCCACGGCGCGGUGAAUACGUUCCCGGGCCUUGUACACACCGCCCGUCAAGCCAUGGAAGCCGGGGGUGCCUGAAGUGCGUGACCGCAAGGAGCGCCCUAGGGUAAAACCGGUGACUGGGGCUAAGUCGUAACAAGGUACC